GGAGGAGUAGAGCAGCCAUUAAGGUGAGGAGAGCAGGAGGAGAAGAGCAGCCAUUAAGGUGAGGAGAGCAGGAGGAGUAGAGCAGCCAUUAAGGUGAGGAGAGCAGGAGGAGAAGAGCAGCCAUUAAGGUGAGGAGAGCAGGAGGAGCAGAGCAGCCAUUAAGGUGAGGGCAGGAGGAGCAGAGCAGCCAUUAAGGUGAGGAGAGCAGGAGGAGCAGAGCAGCCAUUAAGGUGAGGAGAGCAGGAGGAGUAGAGCAGCCAUUAAGGUGAGGAGAGCAGGAGGAGUAGAGCAGCCAUUAAGGUGAGGAGAGCAGGAGGAGAAGAGCAGCCAUUAAGGUGAGGAGAGCAGGAGGAGCAGAGCAGCCAUUAAGGUGAGGAGAGCAGGAGGAGUAGAGCAGCCAUUAAGGUGAGGAGAGCAGGAGGAGCAGAGCAGCCAUUAAGGUGAGGAGGGCAGGAGGAGUAGAGCAGCCAUUAAGGUGAGGGCAGGAGGAGUAGAGCAGCCAUUAAGGUGAGGGCAGGAGGAGUAGAGCAGCCAUUAAGGUGAGGGCAGGAGGAGCAGAGCAGCCAUUAAGGUGAGGGCAGGAGGAGCAGAGCAGCCAUUAAGGUGAGGGCAGGAGGAGCAGAGCAGCCAUUAAGGUGAGGGCAGGAGGAGUAGAGCAGCCAUUAAGGUGAGGGCAGGAGGAGUAGAGCAGC
This is a long non-coding RNA of Oncorhynchus keta (chum salmon), 692 nucleotides long. RefSeq lists it as uncharacterized. The transcript has 8 exons. The record is from RefSeq and is a predicted model, not a curated record. NCBI's taxonomy places the organism in Eukaryota, Metazoa, Chordata, Actinopteri, Salmoniformes, Salmonidae.